Molecule: ribosomal RNA, 496 nt
Filed under: uncultured bacterium
Lineage: Bacteria
Description: partial 16S ribosomal RNA
Rfam family: Bacterial small subunit ribosomal RNA
Source: RNAcentral
GAUGAACGCUAGCGGCAGGCCUAAUACAUGCAAGUCGAGGGGUAGAAGAGGCUUGCUUCAUUGAGACCGGCGCACGGGUGCGUAACGCGUAUGCAACCUACCUUCAUCUGGGGGAUAGCCCGGAGAAAUCCGGAUUAAUACCGCAUAAAAUCACAGGAUGGCAUUAUCCAAUGAUCAAACAUUUAUGGGAUGGAGAUGGGCAUGCGUGUCAUUAGCUAGUUGGCGGGGUAACGGCCCACCAAGGCGACGAUGACUAGGGGAUCUGAGAGGAUGGCCCCCCACACUGGUACUGAGACACGGACCAGACUCCUACGGGAGGCAGCAGCAAGGAAUAUUGGUCAAUGGAGGCAACUCUGAACCAGCCAUGCCGCGUGCAGGAAGACUGCCCUAUGGGUUGUAAACUGCUUUUAUUCGGGAAUAAACCUUAUUACGUGUAAUAAGCUGAAUGUACCGAAGGAAUAAGGAUCGGCUAACUCCGUGCCAGCAGCCGCAGUAA